CGCCUCUCUCCCUGCUUCCCUUCCCAUAAUUCCCAAUCGGCCUCUCUCCUCCACUUCACUAAUGACUGUCGGCGCAGGCCGGUCAGCAUCGGCGACAUCUCCUUUCUCUCCCUAGUGACCAUAAAUCUUCUUCUCCCUCAGUCAUCAAUAUCUCCUUCUCUCUCCAGUCGCUAACAUCUCUCACAGUCCCAUUUUCCAGUCAACGCCUCUCUCCCCCAUUUCACUCACGAGUGCCGGCAGCCCAAUCGACACUGGCGAUGUCUCCUUUCUCUCCCCAGUCGACGAUAAAUCUUCUCUCUCCCGAUAUCUCCUUCUCUCUCUC
Molecule: long non-coding RNA, 322 nt
Filed under: Manihot esculenta (cassava)
Lineage: Eukaryota; Viridiplantae; Streptophyta; Magnoliopsida; Malpighiales; Euphorbiaceae
Description: long non-coding RNA (MESC_LNC011442)
Source: RNAcentral